This 315-nucleotide long non-coding RNA is filed under the name Diabrotica virgifera virgifera (western corn rootworm). RNAcentral describes it as "uncharacterized LOC126892448". The record is from RNAcentral. Lineage: Eukaryota; Metazoa; Arthropoda; Insecta; Coleoptera; Chrysomelidae.
UGCGUGUCGUCGGCUAGUGGGUGGAUUUGGCAUAGGGAAAAAUAACAUCUCAUUUGCCGCUAAUUCGUCUAACGGUGAUCAACUACAAAUGAAGGCUUCAGUGAGAUUCAAAUCACCGAAUUAAAUAACUAGCCAAUGAACAUUAAUACAUGGUGUAUUUUUCCGCAGUGUAUCGUUAAGUUGUUGUUAUAGAAUGAGUAGUAUCUGUAGAAUUUUUGUUUUAACAUCUUAAACAUACUACAAAUUGCUUUUGAACUGAUGAAGCUUUCGAAAUUGUAAAGCGAAACGUUUUCAAUAUAUCAAUGAAGUAGUUGA